ACUAGAACAUUUCAACGGACAGAACAUUGUUCGCGAACAUGUUUGCAACCAAUGUGGACGGGAAAACGAACAUUUCCCCGUAACAAAAAAUGUUCGGUUGUUUGUUCGGUUGCGAUCCGAUAUUUGUCGGUUUUUGCCCGUCACAUCAAAGGAUGUUCGCCGUGGCUCGGAUAACAGUCUGGAGGUCGCUGCGAACACUUCCUGCGAACAUUCAGUUGUCGACGUGGAGCGGUGUUGUCUUCACGGAGUUAGUAGCGGUGCGUGACUCUUUUGUUAUAUGAGAAUGGAGUGGUCCAAGGAAGAUCAAAUAAAACUGAUAGAUUUGUAUAAACAACAAACAGUGAUAUGGGACCCAACAAUGUUAAUCAUUUCAACAAAAUUAGAAAACAAGACGCGUGGGAAGAAAUCGGGGCCGAAAUGGACAGAGAUGUGGACGAAUGUAAGAAGAAAAUGGAGAGUUUGCUAUCAGCAUUAAGAAGGGAGAGGAAGAAAAUGAAAGACACUGCUGGAACUGGAAAAGGAACUGACGAAAUGUACAGAAGUUCCUGGUUCGCUUUCGAAAGUCUACGUUUCUUGCUGGACAAAAAUAAACCAAGAAAGACAAUUUCGACGAUGCGAGUAGAAAGCGAAGAGAGAGACGUAGAAUGUGGUGCAGUUGGAGAAUCAGCACAGGAAACUGUACCGAAAAAGAAGAAGCAGCGAGUCGAAGAUGCACGUCUGGACAAAGCCUUUCAUAUAUUGUCGUCCACCGCGAGUCAGCUUAACGAUGAUAAAUAAAUGUAGAAAAUUACGUUAAUAAAUCUUUCAAUUACACAGUACCGCAGAAUAAGUCAAUACUUACCUUAAUGUAAUCCUCAAGUCCUUCGAUGAGAGCAGAACACACUUCAGGAAUAACUGUGCUGAUAGUCUGUUUUGAAAUUUUAAAUACAUACUGAAGGCUGGUAUACGAAUCACCAGUUGCUAAAAAACGUAAUGUCAAUGCCAGUCUUUCUGUAAUUGGAAUUGCUUUUCUGAACGACGUAUCUCUCUUACCAAUUUUCGCUCCUAUCAAAUUGAUCAACCACUCAAAAUCUGAUGGGUGCAUUCUUGUAAAGUUCUUGUAAAGACCACUGACUGACUGAAAACUUAAGUCUGCCAACAAGUUCGAGCCACUAUAUGUUGUCCUACUUUCAUACAGUUUUGUAAUCCACCAACGGCGAGAUUUCCUUCGCU
This is a long non-coding RNA of Bacillus rossius redtenbacheri, 1212 nucleotides long. RefSeq lists it as uncharacterized. The transcript is spliced from 3 exons. The record is from RefSeq and is a predicted model, not a curated record. Lineage: Eukaryota; Metazoa; Arthropoda; Insecta; Phasmatodea; Bacillidae.